RNAcentral lists this ribosomal RNA (402 nucleotides) under [Candida] sp. Envir-L231. Its description in RNAcentral is "eukaryotic LSU rRNA". The stretch from base 96 to 246 matches the Rfam family "5.8S ribosomal RNA". The record is from RNAcentral. Lineage: Eukaryota; Fungi; Ascomycota; Saccharomycetes; Saccharomycetales.
UCCGUAGGUGAACCUGCGGAAGGAUCAUUACCAAAACAUUCAGCCCUGUGUCGAAGCAAAAACUACCCAACCAAUUCAUCAAAAAUCUAAAUCAAAACUUUCAACAACGGAUCUCUAGGUUCUCGCAUCGAUGAAGAACGCAGCGAAAUGCGAUACGUAGUACGAAACGCAAGUCGUGAAUCAUCGAAUCUUUGAACGCACAUUGCGCUGCGAGGCAUUCCUCGCAGCAUGCCUGUUUGAGCGUCCUUUCUCUCUCGAAAGGUUGUGGGCGGUAUGCUGGUAAGCAUCCGCCUGAAAGAGCGCCGUCACGACUGUCAAGUAAGUCGCCGACUUUUAGAUGUUGACCUCAAAUCAGGUAGGACUACCCGCUGAACUUAAGCAUAUCAAUAAGCGGAGGAAAAG